GCGUGUCGGGAAAGACGUGUGUGCUGAGAAAGAAUCCUAGCGACAACCAGACAGAACUCCCUUGCAAUGAAAAAACCCCUUCUGUGUAUAAAGACUUACAGAUUUGUCUCGUAUCGUCCUGCUGCAAGCGAUCGUUCCAGUGUCCUGUCGCAGCCAGGCAUCGUGUCAGUGUGGAAAUGCAUAAUUACAAUAGAAUUUACGGUAUAAGUUGUGUUAAAUCAAUGUUAAUCGCUGUAGCGAAGUGGGGUAUUACAAUAAAUACAUUAUUUUAUGUAAAGU
Apis dorsata (giant honeybee) is the source of this 279-nucleotide long non-coding RNA. RefSeq lists it as uncharacterized. The transcript is spliced from 2 exons. Lineage: Eukaryota; Metazoa; Arthropoda; Insecta; Hymenoptera; Apidae. The record is from RefSeq and is a predicted model, not a curated record.